This is a long non-coding RNA of Rhopalosiphum padi (bird cherry-oat aphid), 1526 nucleotides long. RefSeq lists it as uncharacterized. The transcript has 2 exons. Lineage: Eukaryota; Metazoa; Arthropoda; Insecta; Hemiptera; Aphididae. The record is from RefSeq and is a predicted model, not a curated record.
UGUUGUAUUUUGGUUAAACAAUUUUAAUUUAAUUAAAAGUAUACUUGAUAUGAUAUGAUCACAUUAAUAGUUAAUUGUAUAUUUAAAUAAUUAGGUCAAGUUAUUGGUACAUAACAUAAGUAGGGCUAUGGAGUUUUUAUUAACCUAAAUUGGCAAAUUAAAAUUUUUUUUUUACAUCUGAGUGUCAUUUUCAUGCAAUAUAUUAAAAGAUUUUUAUAUCUUAAAAUAUUAAUUAAAAAUUAACAUCAUUUCAAAAAUAAGUGUAAAAAUCAAUAUUUUUUAAAACAUUCAUAGCCCUAAAAAUAUGUUAUACUCUAUGUAUAGAGUAGAUAAUGUAAAGUAUGUUCAAUGUUCAUUUAAUUUGUAUUAAUUUAUCUAGGGUAGUGGACAUGUUAAGUGUUAAUAUUUUUUAUUAGGUAUGACCUUACCCAAAUCCUGCAAAAAUUUGCACUACGGAAAUUUGUUCAUGUUCUAGUAAAAUUAUUAAUAACUAAUGUGUUUAUUGCCUUUGAUAAUUUAGUAUUGAAUUAAUGUCCAUUAUUUGGUAUAAGUUCAAUAAACUUGAAUAAAAACUACCUAUCAAUUAUUUAUGACUUAUUUCAACGUCUUGAACAUAUUAAUCCUACUGGUUAGUGGCUACUAAAAAACUAAAUACUAAUUAAUAAAUGUAAAAAAGUUAAUGAAAAAUUUAAAAAGAGUGAACAUUUAUAAAGUUGUUUUAUUAUAUGAAACAAAGAAAAUAAGUAACAUACUUACAUAUUAUAAUGUUUUGUACUACUAUAGCAUAGAAAAGUACUAUAGUACCAAUACCAGAGAUACCACUAACAAUAUUAACUAAAUUAAUUUGUAUACCAUGGAACAAUAUUAUAUCUUAGUUCAUGUUUCAAAAUUAAACCUAUGAAGUAUGAAGUUAAUAUUAUCACAGAACUAUGUAACCAUGGUUGAAAUACAUACAUCUUAGAAUAUAGUGAAUAUACCUUAUAAUUUAUAAAAGCUUCCAAUAUUGGUAAGGAAAGUAAGGAUUAGUUAAGUUCAAAAUUUAAUUAAAACAAACAAACACAUACACAAUACUUAUCAUUUACAUUAGCAGGCAUUUCUUUGUAAACUACACUUUGAAGAUAACCCCAAAGAAAAUAAUAUGGCGAAGUCAGAUCGGGACUACGAGGUGGCCAACAUAUUUUUGGACUGUACGUUCCCAUCCAAUUUGUACCAAAAGUGCAAUUUAAAUACUCUAUGACAAUAUUUUUAUUAUGAGCUGGAGCACCGUCCUGCUGCCAAACUAAAGUUUUGCGUCUUGAUAAAGAUAUGUCCUCCAAAUACAUACAAAUACAUAUGUAUUUAUUUAAUAUAAUUUAUAUUUCUAUAUUAGAUUGAUGAGUUAUAAUUAGUAAAUUACAAAAUAAAUAUUUUUUAAAAAACAAUAUGGUGUAUCUUAAUUACUAUAGUAAAUGAUUAUAUUAAACAGAUAACAUUUUUUCAUUUUAAAACAAAGUAAAUCAACAAUUUCUAUGUAUUUAGAAAAAUAA